CCCGGCUGCGCCCCGCUAACUCGACACCCACACACUACCUUUUUUCAGAUGCGGCCGCGACAGCCACUGGACCUAGGAGAGCGCUCGGACGCCAUGUUGGCUUCCGGCAAAGCUCUCCGCAAAGGUUCUACGCACGCGCAAUGACGCGCCGAACACCGACGUCUCACGAAACGCAUGCGCGCCUGAAACUCCACAAACUACCCGCUCCUUACUUCUCCGGCACCAUAGGGCGUAUUGGUUGUUAUUACUCAUUAUUUUUAACUAACCUGUAAGAUUCUACAAGCAAACAUAUUCAAAAUUGAUAUUGUCCUUGGAUGUUUCUUGAUAUACCAAAAAAUCUAAGAAGCAAAGAGUUCUGGACUUGGAGUCAGGAAGGCCUGCCUUUAAAUCUUGCA
This 395-nucleotide long non-coding RNA is filed under the name Monodelphis domestica (gray short-tailed opossum). Its description in RNAcentral is "lncRNA (ENSMODG00000048034.1)". Lineage: Eukaryota; Metazoa; Chordata; Mammalia; Didelphimorphia; Didelphidae. The record is from RNAcentral.